UAUCUAGUUGGAUGUCAAGACACGUGAAACUUAAGUGCAUGACACCACACUGGGUAGA
RNAcentral lists this microRNA precursor (58 nucleotides) under Mus musculus (house mouse). Lineage: Eukaryota; Metazoa; Chordata; Mammalia; Rodentia; Muridae. The record is from RNAcentral.